Molecule: long non-coding RNA, 308 nt
Filed under: Sorghum bicolor (sorghum)
Lineage: Eukaryota; Viridiplantae; Streptophyta; Magnoliopsida; Poales; Poaceae
Description: long non-coding RNA (SBIC_LNC012994)
Source: RNAcentral
CACCCAAAAUUUUUUUUAUUUUUUACUCUGGAUCCUCUCUAAUUCUAGCCCACACUAACAGUAACUCCAUCUCCUUAUAAUACUCAUCAACUGAUCUUUUUCCUUGCUUCAACAUUUGCAACCUAUUGUGAAGGUCACGUUGAUAGCUUGAUGGUACAAAUUGCCUUCUUAUCACUUGCUUCAUCUCUUCCCAUGUGUUAAUAUAUUCAUAGCCCAACACAAGUUGAUUCUCCUGUAUCUGAUUCCACUAAAUCAGAGCAUAACAAGAGAACUCCAUUGAAGCAAGAUUGACACACCUCUAAUCAGAG